ACCCAGCUGACGAGUCUCGAAUAGGACGAAACGCAUGUACGGGAU
Molecule: non-coding RNA, 45 nt
Organism: Schistosoma rodhaini
Lineage: Eukaryota; Metazoa; Platyhelminthes; Trematoda; Strigeidida; Schistosomatidae
Source: Rfam